CCCGGUUUUUUUUCUUAUGAGUAAGCGGCGGACGGGUGAGUAAUAUAUGGGAAUCUGCCUGGUAGUGGGGGACAACGUUUCGAAAGGAACGCUAAUACCGCAUACGCCCUACGGGGGAAAGGGGGGGAUCUUCCGACCUCUCGCUAUCAGAUGAGCCCAUGUCGGAUUCCCUAGUUGGUGGGGUAAAGGCUCACCAAGGCGACUAUCCGUAACUGGUCUGACAGGAUGAUCAGUCACACUGGAACUGAAACACGGUCCAGACUCCUACGGAAGGCAGCAGUGGGGAAUAUUGGACAAUGGGCGCAGGCCUGAUCCAGCCAUGCCGCGUGAGUGAAGAAGGCCUUAGGGUUGUAAAGCCCUUUCCUUGGGAAGAAAGGUCAUUCACCUAAUACCUGAGUGACUUGAUGAUACCCACAGAAGAAGCACCGGCUAACUCCGUGCCAGCAGCCGCGGUAAU
RNAcentral lists this ribosomal RNA (457 nucleotides) under uncultured bacterium. Its description in RNAcentral is "bacterial SSU rRNA". It matches the Rfam family "Bacterial small subunit ribosomal RNA", at positions 62 to 524 of the family's 1533-position model. The record is from RNAcentral.